Molecule: transfer RNA, 85 nt
Filed under: Operophtera brumata (winter moth)
Lineage: Eukaryota; Metazoa; Arthropoda; Insecta; Lepidoptera; Geometridae
Rfam family: tRNA
About the family: Transfer RNA (tRNA) molecules are approximately 80 nucleotides in length.
Source: Rfam by way of RNAcentral
CGUUCUGUUGCCGAAUUGGUAAAGGCUGUGGUAAAGGCAUCGCCGAUCACAGGAGAGGGUGCGGGUUCGAGUCCCGCUGGAACGA